Molecule: unclassified non-coding RNA, 304 nt
Filed under: Hevea brasiliensis (rubber tree)
Lineage: Eukaryota; Viridiplantae; Streptophyta; Magnoliopsida; Malpighiales; Euphorbiaceae
Source: RNAcentral
GGAAUGUGGUGGAUAGCAUAUGAUAUUGCCUUGUAGCUUGAACUUUGCAGAAGAAAAGACAGGAAAAGGAGAAUCCAAUAAAGUAAAUACUAACAAGGGAAGGGUAAUAUUAUUUUAGCAACUAUAAAAACCUACAAGGAAGUCACUAUCACAGAAGAAGGCCAAGUGAAAUUGCAUUCGCACAUGGUGGGGUUGGGUUUUGUUAAUGCUCUGUGUAUUCAUGUGGGUAUAGAAAUGUUGUUGUUUCUGUUCUUCUCUCCUUUCAUCUUUUGUUUCAUUUUUCAGGCAAAAAUCUCAAGAUUCC